Molecule: ribosomal RNA, 468 nt
Filed under: uncultured bacterium
Lineage: Bacteria
Description: partial 16S ribosomal RNA
Rfam family: Bacterial small subunit ribosomal RNA
Source: RNAcentral
GACGAACGCUGGCGGCGUGCUUAACACAUGCCAGUCGAACGGAAAGACCCUGCUUUUGUGGGUUUCUCGAGUGGCGAACGGGUGAGUAACACGUGAGUAACCUGCCCCUGUCUUUGGGAUAACUUUAGGAAACUGGGGCUCAUACCGGAUAGGAGCUCCUGCUCCACGUUGGGCGUUGGAAAGUUUCGGCGGUUGGGGAUGUACUGGAGGCUUAUCCGCUUGUUGGGGUGGUAGUGGCUUACCAAGGCUUUGACGGCUAGCCGGCCUGAGAGGGGGAACGGCCACAAUGGGACUGAGAGAGGCAGCAGACGGGAAUGUGCGGCAGUAGUGGGGAGUAUGGCGCAACGGGCGGAAGCGUGAGGCAGCAACGUCGCGUGCGUGAAAACGGGCUACGGGGGGUAAACAGAUUUCGCAUGUGAUGAAGCGUUAGUGACGGUAACGGGUAAAGAAGCACCGGCUAACUACGUG